AGGACGAACGCUGGCGGCGUGCUUAACACAUGCAAGUCGAGCGGAAAGGCCCUUCGGGGUACUCGAGCGGCGAACGGGUGAGUAGCACGUGAGCAAUCUGCCCUUAGCUUCGGGAUAGCCCCGGGAAACCGGGAUUAAUACCGAAUAUGACCUCGGCCGACAUCGGCUUUGGUGGAAAGUUUUUCGGCUAGGGAUGAACUCGCGGCCUAUCAGCUUGUUGGUGGGGUAAUGGCCUACCAAGGCGACGACGGGUAGCCGGCCUGAGAGGGCGACCGGCCACACUGGGACUGAGACACGGCCCAGACUCCUACGGGAGGCAGCAGUGGGGAAUAUUGCGCAAUGGGCGAAAGCCUGACGCAGCGACGCCGCGUGGGGGAUGAAGGCCUUCUGGUUGUAAACCCCUUUCAGCAGGGACGAAGCGAGAGUGACGGUACCUGCAGAAGAAGCGCCGGCUAACUACGCGCCAGCAGCCGC
This 474-nucleotide ribosomal RNA is filed under the name uncultured bacterium. RNAcentral's name for it is "SSU rRNA". It matches the Rfam family "Bacterial small subunit ribosomal RNA", at positions 26 to 518 of the family's 1533-position model. The record is from RNAcentral.